AUUGAACGCUGGCGGCAGGCCUAACACAUGCAAGUCGAACGGUAGCAGGAAGAAGCUUGCUUCCUUGCUGACGAGUGGCGGACGGGUGAGUAAUGUCUGGGAAACUGCCUGAUGGAGGGGGAUAACUACUGGAAACGGUAGCUAAUACCGCAUAACGUCGCAAGACCAAAGAGGGGGACCUUCGGGCCUCUUGCCAUCGGAUGUGCCCAGAUGGGAUUAGCUAGUAGGUGGGGUAACGGCUCACCUAGGCGACGAUCCCUAGCUGGUCUGAGAGGAUGACCAGCCACACUGGAACUGAGACACGGUCCAGACUCCUACGGGAGGCAGCAGUGGGGAAUAUUGCACAAUGGGCGCAAGCCUGAUGCAGCCAUGCCGCGUGUAUGAAGAAGGCCUUCGGGUUGUAAAGUACUUUCAGCGGGGAGGAAGGGAGUAAAGUUAAUACCUUUGCUCAUUGACGUUACCCGCAGAAGAAGCACCGGCUAACUCCGUG
RNAcentral lists this ribosomal RNA (490 nucleotides) under uncultured bacterium. RNAcentral's name for it is "partial 16S ribosomal RNA". It matches the Rfam family "Bacterial small subunit ribosomal RNA", at positions 30 to 507 of the family's 1533-position model. The record is from RNAcentral.